CUGCUCACUCCGCUUCGCACCAACGCUACCUCCGCGCUCUGCAUCUCCUCUCCACUCCUGCUAUUUAGCGCCGCCCUGCGCCUCCCACUCCCGAAUUCCCCUGCGCCUCUCACCUCCCUGCUCGAAUCCAGCGCUCACCCGCGCCGCGUCGAGACAUGUCGAAGAAAAUCGUGGUGAAGCUGGACCUGCACGACAACAAGGACAAGCAGAAGGCGCUGAAGGCCAUCUCCGUGCUCGUCGGCAUCGACGCCGUGUCGGUGGACAUGGCGGCGCACAAGAUGACGGUGAUCGGGACGGUGGACCCGGUGCAGGUGGUGAGCAAGCUGCGCAGCAAGUCGUGGGCGGCGCACAUCGACUCCGUCGGGCCGGCCAAGGAGCCCGAGAAGAAGGAGGAGAAGAAGGACGGCGGCGGCGAGAAGAAGGACGGCGGCGGUGGCGAGGGCAAGAAGGAGGAAGGGGACGGGAAGAAGGACGGCGGCGGCGGUGGCGACGGCAAGAAAGACGGCGAGGGCAAGAAGGAGGACGGCGACGGCAAGAAGCAGGACGGCGAGGGCAAGAAGGAGGAUGGCGAUGGCAAGAAGGACGACAAGAAGGACGGCGGCGGCGGCGGCGCAGAGGAGAAGAAGCCCGCCGCCGCGGUGCCCCCGAUUUUGCCGUUCCCGCCGCUGCACCAGCUGCCGCCGCAGUACAUGCACAUGAUCACCAACGACUACAUGAGCCAGUACCACCACCGCCCCCCGCCGCCGCCGCCCGUGGCGUACCACCCGUACGCGGCGCCGCCCCCGCCGCCCCCGCAGUACUACUACGUGCGCAACAUGAGCAUGGAGGAGAACCCAAACUCGUGCGCCAUCUGCUGAAGCAAUCGAUCCCGGCCGCUUUGUCUCUCGCGUCGCGCGCGCGAACGUGAGUACGUACGUGUCUCCCGGCCCGCCCCGUCCAUCAGUCCAUGUGUACAUCCGUCGUCGUGUUACGUUAUUAUUACGAUGAGAAGACAGACGAAUCAAACUAGCUACUCGUAGCUUUUAUUAUUUUGUGAGUCAAAAGUCCAAACCGUAUAGCUGCCAGUUC
RNAcentral lists this unclassified non-coding RNA (1068 nucleotides) under Zea mays. Its description in RNAcentral is "misc RNA Zm00001eb001930". The record is from RNAcentral. Lineage: Eukaryota; Viridiplantae; Streptophyta; Magnoliopsida; Poales; Poaceae.